Molecule: long non-coding RNA, 1492 nt
Organism: Cyprinus carpio carpio
Lineage: Eukaryota; Metazoa; Chordata; Actinopteri; Cypriniformes; Cyprinidae
Source: Ensembl
UAAUCAGUUUGUUUAGAGGAAAACAAAUGUCUGCUGCUCUCACAGCAUGAUAUAAGACAAGAGAAAAAUAGUAUCAUUUUCUUUGAAAUGGCUCUGCUGGAACCUCAGGAAAAUUACUGAUUAGAUUUUAUUUGUGCCAGUUCAAUGACAAUUACUCAUGAGAAUAUUAGUUGAACAGCAGCUUUGGAGUACGUGGCUUUGUUUUGCGAUGGCAGCUUACAGCAAGAAUGUCAAAGACUAAGACACUGAGAUUUAUAAAUCAAGCUGAAUGCAAGCAAGCAGUGGGCAAACAAUGUUCAUCACACCCGGACACUGCAUUCAUGAAGACACUGUGAAAAUCGGUACAAAUUACUGGACAAAGGAAAGUUUGCGCCGACUGCCCUGUGCCUUUUCCAGAAGAAAGCGGUGCCGUAGACGUGGGAACCGAGGCGGCGUUUCCACCAGAUGGAAAUUGUACCUGCCGUCCUCUGUAGUACCUCAUUCAUAUCCUUAUCUCGGCAGAUGUGGGCUGGUUUCGGAUCGCGUUUGCUCUGGGCGGUGUGAGGAGUCGCUGUAUGGCUGGAUCCGGCCCGUUGUACCUGUACUCGACUCAACUCUCCCUCAGGUAUCUUUGCCUCAUCUCCGCAGUGGAUGAGUGGAUUUAACGAACCUUCGCCUGCUGUUUCGUGCAUCACAGUCGGCUAAUGAUUCGAUCUUGGUCAGAAUGGCUCUGGUUAAUUCAAGAUCGUUAGUUAAUAAGACCUUUAUAUUGAAUUAUUUUUCACUUCACGAGAUCUGGAUUUUAAUGUUGGAGACCUUAGCUCUUUUACUAAGCUUGUACCAGUGGAUUGUACCUUUUUUAAUCCCCCCUGCACUACUGGUUGAGGUGGUGGACUUGCAUCAGUUUAAAAAAAAAAAAAAAAAAAAAAUUAUGUGAUGGCCUGAGCUUGCAGCCUGAUGUCUAUUCCAGUUUUGAAUUACAAUUGAUGCAUGUUGACUCAGCAAACCAUGUGCUAUGUGCACUGGUUUACUGACCACCCAAAUUAAACAAGUUUAUUACUGAGUUUACCAAAUUUUUAGGAGGAAUUAUGACAAAUUAUUGAUAAUGGCUUCUCCGAUCACAAGUCUGUUUUUGGAAUUUCCUUUCCAAGACCUGCUGUUAAACCAUGUGCACCUGCACGCCAGCUCUGAACACUGAAUUCUGUGACUGGUCUUGAUUUUUGUAAUUUGUACAGUAAUGGUUCUUUUUUAUGUGAAUCAUGAAUGCUCACCCUCUCAUUUAAGUACUGAAGAGUUACUUCAUUUAUCUCUGCGUGUACUGGUUAGGCGCAUUAAACCUAAAUCAGAACCGUGGUUAAAUGAUUCUACUCGUGCACGUCUACUCGACGGGUCUGUAGGCACGCUGAGCGCAAAUGGAAGAAGGACAAGCUUCAAGUUUCCUAUGAUACUUUUAGGGGUUCGCUGUCAAAAUAUCAGAUAAUGGUCAAAAGAGCAAGGGCCAAUUAUUUUUCUG